RNAcentral lists this ribosomal RNA (269 nucleotides) under uncultured prokaryote. Its description in RNAcentral is "partial 16S ribosomal RNA". It matches the Rfam family "Bacterial small subunit ribosomal RNA", at positions 524 to 792 of the family's 1533-position model. The record is from RNAcentral.
UACGUAGGUGGCGAGCGUUGUCCGGAUUUACUGGGCGUAAAGGGAGCGUAGGCGGACUUUUAAGUGAGAUGUGAAAUACCCGGGCUCAACUUGGGUGCUGCAUUUCAAACUGGAAGUCUAGAGUGCAGGAGAGGAGAAUGGAAUUCCUAGUGUAGCGGUGAAAUGCGUAGAGAUUAGGAAGAACACCAGUGGCGAAGGCUAUUCUCUGGACUGUAACUGACGCUGAGGCUCGAAAGCGUGGGGAGCAAACAGGAUUAGAUACCCGUGUA